This 255-nucleotide long non-coding RNA is filed under the name Lathyrus oleraceus (garden pea). RNAcentral's name for it is "Pisum sativum (pea) long non-coding RNA (PSAT_LNC016844)". The record is from RNAcentral. Lineage: Eukaryota; Viridiplantae; Streptophyta; Magnoliopsida; Fabales; Fabaceae.
AGAAGAUGAAGUCUCCCCCACACCUCCUAAUUGCUCAAUUCAUCCUUGUGAGGCUCCCUUCUUUCGGCCUAGAGCAUUUUCCUAACUACACCCCCAAUUUUUAGCUUAUUUUUAUCUUUUGUAUAUAUUUUUUAUUUAUUAUUUUAUUAUUAUUGUUUUAUUUAUUUAUUUUUGUUAUUUCCUUUAGUUUUUUUAAUUCUUUUACCUAUUGCAUUGAUAGUGUGCCCCCUCUCUUUUAUUAUUUCUUUUACCUUU